This 492-nucleotide ribosomal RNA is filed under the name uncultured bacterium. RNAcentral describes it as "partial 16S ribosomal RNA". It matches the Rfam family "Bacterial small subunit ribosomal RNA", at positions 29 to 507 of the family's 1533-position model. The record is from RNAcentral.
AGUGAACGCUGGCGGUAUGCCUAACACAUGCAAGUCGAACGGCAGCACAGUAAGAGCUUGCUCUUACGGGUGGCGAGUGGCGGACGGGUGAGGAAUACAUCGGAAUCUACUUUUUCGGGGGGGAUAACGUAGGGAAACUUACGCUAAUACCGCAUACGACCUACGGGUGAAAGCAGGGGAUCUUCGGACCUUGCGCGAUUGAAUUAGCCGAUGUCGGAUUAGCUAGUUGGCGGGGUAAAGGCCCAACAAGGCGACGAUCCGUAGCUGGUCUGAGAGGAUGAUCAGCCACACUGGAACUGAGACACGGUCCAGACUCCUACGGGAGGCAGCAGUGGGGAAUAUUGGACAAUGGGCGCAAGCCUGAUCCAGCCAUACCGCGUGGGUGAAGAAGGCCUUCGGGUUGUAAAGCCCUUUUGUUGGGAAAGAAAAGCAGCAGGUUAAUACCCCGCUGUUCUGACGGUACCCAAAGAAUAAGCACCGGCUAACUUCGUG